RNAcentral lists this ribosomal RNA (1125 nucleotides) under Triticum aestivum (bread wheat). RNAcentral describes it as "partial small subunit ribosomal RNA". Lineage: Eukaryota; Viridiplantae; Streptophyta; Magnoliopsida; Poales; Poaceae. The record is from RNAcentral.
AUGUCAAAUGUGGUGUUUUUUUUCUGUGGUCUUACACAUGCGAGAUGUACCAAAUUCAAGAUUUUUUUCCACGCUAAAUACUCUGAGUUGAUUGUAGUAAGUAAUUUCAGGUAUGAAUGUGAUCAAGACAAGUGUAACCAAACAAUUAGUUCGUCUUCAUCGAGAAAUGGAACAUCUAUCAUAUCUAUUUCAGUAGUGGUUUCUGCACUGGUAAUGGUUGUACUUGUCAUUUCAUAUUUGGUAUGGAGGCAGAAAAUUGCGCCACCAGUUUCUACUCGUAAUCCUGCUAGAGAGGCAGAACUUGUGAGUGCUCCAGUUAGUAGGAAAGGUUGCAGGGAGCACCUUCAAAAUAAUGAGAAUCGCUGAUUCACAUACAAGGAGUUGGAGAAGUUUACAAAUAAGUUCGAAAGGUUCAUUCAACAAGAAGGUUUUGGGCUUGUAUACUAUGGUCGUUCAGAAGACAAUACGGAGGUUGUUGUCAAGAUGUGUUCCGAGUCCUCUUCACAUGGACUCGACGAGUUCUUAGCUGAGAAAGAUCGUUUGGCACUGGUUUAUGAGUACAUGUCUCAAGGCAUUCUUUAUGAUCAUCUGAGAGGUUUGUCCAUUGCAAACAAGGGUUGUAGCCUGCCAAUAAGUCAUCGAGAUGUGAAGACAAGAAAUGUCCUCUUGGGUCAAAAUCUGCAAGCGAAAAUAGCUGAUUUUGGACUUUGCAAAACCUAUUUCAGUGACACACAGCCUUGGCUAUCAACCAUUGCAGUUGGGACCACAGGUUACAUCAACCCAGAGUACUCUAGGGCAUAUUUCCUUCACGGUGUAGUUCUAGUGGAGAUAGCCACCGGCGAGGGUCCAAUACUGCUGAGCCAUGGCCACAUUAUUCAUCGUGUGAAACAAAAGAUUGCAUCUGGUAACAUCAGCUCAAUCGCCGAUGCCCGUCUCAAUGAUGCCUAUGAUGUGAGUUCCAUGUGGAAAGUGAUUGACACCACGAUGGCGUCAACAAUGGCCGCUGUGGUUGUGCAAUUGAGGGAGAGCCUGGCAUUGGAGGAAGCUCGUGAGGGCAGUGGUGUCAAUGGGAGCACCACGACAAAUGCUGCUGGAGUGUCUACAUUCGGUCCAUCAGCAAGAUGA